CAGGCCUAACACAUGCAAGUCGAACGCUAUCGCAAGAUAGAGUGGCGCACGGGUGAGUAACACGUGGGAAUCUGCCCUUCUCUGCGGGACAACAGUUGGAAACGACUGCUAAUACCGCAUACGCCCUUCGGGGGAAAGGUCCGCCGGAGAAGGAGGAGCCCGCGUCUGAUUAGCUUGUUGGUGGGGUAAAGGCCUACCAAGGCGACGAUCAGUAGCUGGUCUGAGAGGAUGAUCAGCCACACUGGGACUGAGACACGGCCCAGACUCCUACGGGAGGCAGCAGUGGGGAAUAUUGGACAAUGGAGGCAACUCUGAUCCAGCAAUGCCGCGUGUGUGAUGAAGGCCCUAGGGUUGUAAAGCACUUUCAUUGGUGAAGAUGAUGACGGUAACCAAAGAAGAAGCCCCGGCUAACUUCGUGCCAGCAGCCGCGGUAAUACGAAGGGGGCGAGCGUUGUUCGGAAUUACUGGGCGUAAAGGGAGCGCAGGCGGUUCAUUUAGUUAGGCGUGAAAGCCCCGGGCUCAACCUGGGAACUGCGCUUAAUACUGAUGAGCUAGAAAACAGAAGAGGAUAGUGGAAUUCCCAGUGUAGAGGUGAAAUUCGUAGAUAUUGGGAAGAACACCGGUGGCGAAAGCGGCUAUCUGGUCUGAU
Molecule: ribosomal RNA, 649 nt
Filed under: uncultured bacterium
Lineage: Bacteria
Description: bacterial SSU rRNA
Rfam family: Bacterial small subunit ribosomal RNA
Source: RNAcentral